RNAcentral lists this ribosomal RNA (700 nucleotides) under uncultured beta proteobacterium. RNAcentral describes it as "bacterial SSU rRNA". It matches the Rfam family "Bacterial small subunit ribosomal RNA", at positions 84 to 780 of the family's 1533-position model. Lineage: Bacteria; Pseudomonadati; Pseudomonadota; Betaproteobacteria. The record is from RNAcentral.
ACCCCUCGAGAGUGGCGAACGGGUGAGUAAUAUAUCGGAACGUGCCCAGUCGUGGGGGAUAACGUAGCGAAAGUUACGCUAAUACCGCAUACGAUCUACGGAUGAAAGCGGGGGACCGCAAGGCCUCGCGCGAUUGGAGCGGCCGAUAUCAGAUUAGGUAGUUGGUGGGGUAAAGGCUCACCAAGCCAACGAUCUGUAGCUGGUCUGAGAGGACGACCAGCCACACUGGAACUGAGACACGGUCCAGACUCCUACGGGAGGCAGCAGUGGGGAAUUUUGGACAAUGGACGCAAGUCUGAUCCAGCCAUUCCGCGUGCAGGAUGAAGGCCCUCGGGUUGUAAACUGCUUUUGUACGGAACGAAAAGGUCUCUCUUAAUACGAGGGGCUCAUGACGGUACCGUAAGAAUAAGCACCGGCUAACUACGUGCCAGCAGCCGCGGUAAUACGUAGGGUGCAAGCGUUAAUCGGAAUUACUGGGCGUAAAGCGUGCGCAGGCGGUUAUGUAAGACAGAGGUGAAAUCCCCGGGCUCAACCUGGGAACUGCCUUUGUGACUGCAUAGCUAGAGUACGGUAGAGGGGGAUGGAAUUCCGCGUGUAGCAGUGAAAUGCGUAGAUAUGCGGAGGAACACCGAUGGCGAAGGCAAUCCCCUGGACCUGUACUGACGCUCAUGCACGAAAGCGUGGGGAGCAAACAGGAUUA